CAGUAGCCGCGGUAAUACGUAGGGUGCGAGCGUUAAUCGGAAUUACUGGGCGUAAAGCGUGCGCAGGCGGUUCGUUAAGACAGAUGUGAAAUCCCCGGGCUUAACCUGGGAACUGCAUUUGUGACUGGCGGGCUAGAGUAUGGCAGAGGGGGGUAGAAUUCCACGUGUAGCAGUGAAAUGCGUAGAGAUGUGGAGGAAUACCGAUGGCGAAGGCAGCCCCCUGGGCCAAUACUGACGCUCAUGCACGAAAGCGUGGGGAGCAAACAGGAUUAGAUACCCGUGUAGUCCCUGUCUCUUAUAC
RNAcentral lists this ribosomal RNA (301 nucleotides) under uncultured bacterium. RNAcentral's name for it is "partial 16S ribosomal RNA". It matches the Rfam family "Bacterial small subunit ribosomal RNA", at positions 509 to 807 of the family's 1533-position model. The record is from RNAcentral.